CUCCACUCUGGGGAGUUGGAAGGCUGGAGCACGGACGAGCCAUCUCUCCCCCUACCUCCUGACCCAAGGGGAGCCGUCAAUUAGAGCCGUGCUUGAGCCUAAGGCUGACCUGAACCGUUUGAAGGCAGAUCUUCCAUGGAGUGCCCCGGUCCUUUUCUGGAAAGGUCAAAGGGAUGAGAGGGGUCUCUGCAGUGUCCUGGAUCUGGUUUCAACCUCACCUUCUCCAUGUAUGAGAAGACAAGUCACUUGGAUUCACCAUGCCUCGGUUUCCCCAGAUGGCAAGCAGGACUCAGCCUUUUGUACCUGGUCCAUCAGAGGACGAGCUUUCACGUGUUAGCCAACACCUCCGUCAUCACCAUCAUUGCCAUGAUCAUCGUCCUCAUCACCUUGACACGCUGAGCUUUGUAGCUUAAAAACAAAAUGCCUUUAACAAUGUGCAACAGGUCUAAGAUGCCACCUUUGGGAUCAGAUGGGAGUUUGGGAUUAUUUCUAUUUUCCAAUUGUUCAGCCCCCUCCCACUAAGUGCGAAGCGGAGAGCCAUUAAGUUGCAAUGGAUUUGAUUCACCACGUGGCCCCUCAAAUCCUUUCUGGAACAAGAUUGGAUGUAAAAAUAAAUCAAAUAAAUGCAUUUUCAGCGUGUGCAGCCCAGCCCA
This 653-nucleotide long non-coding RNA is filed under the name Homo sapiens (human). Its description in RNAcentral is "HSALNT0379327". The record is from RNAcentral. Lineage: Eukaryota; Metazoa; Chordata; Mammalia; Primates; Hominidae.